UGUCGAAUCGUAUAAUAGGCUAUUACCGUAGAUUGCAAAUCUACAGAUACCGGUUCGAGUCCGGUUUCGCCCU
Molecule: transfer RNA, 73 nt
Filed under: Paramoeba pemaquidensis
Lineage: Eukaryota; Discosea; Flabellinia; Dactylopodida; Paramoebidae
Description: tRNA-Cys
Rfam family: tRNA
About the family: Transfer RNA (tRNA) molecules are approximately 80 nucleotides in length. Their secondary structure includes four short double-helical elements and three loops (D, anti-codon, and T loops).
Source: RNAcentral